Molecule: non-coding RNA, 84 nt
Organism: Trichonephila clavipes
Lineage: Eukaryota; Metazoa; Arthropoda; Arachnida; Araneae; Nephilidae
Source: the annotation of a GenBank genome assembly
GUCAGGAUGGCCGAGCACUGUAAAGCGCCAGAUUCAAGUUCUGGUCCACUGAUGUGGGCGUGGCUUCGAAUCCCACUCCUGACA